GGCGAACGGGUGAGUAACACGUUGGUGACCUGCCCCGAGGUGGGGGAUAACUCCUCGAAAGAGGAGCUAAAACCCCGGAUGUCUGAGGCGUUAGAGGCUUCAGACUAAAACUGAGGUGUCUCGGGAGGGGCCUGCGGGCUAUCAGCUAGUUGGUGAGGUAAAGGCUCACCAAGGCGCAGACGGCUAGGGGGCGUGAGAGCGUGACCCCCCACAAGGGAACUGAGAGACUGUCCCUACUCCUACGGGAGGCAGCAGUGAGGAAUAUUGAGCAAUGGGCGCAAGCCUGACUCAGCAACGCCGCGUGGACGAUGACGGCCUUCGGGUUGUAAAGUCCUUUUCUGAGGGACGAUGACGACGGUACCUCAGGAAGAAGUCCCGGCUAACUACGUGCCAGCAGCCGCGGUAAAACG
RNAcentral lists this ribosomal RNA (410 nucleotides) under uncultured bacterium. Its description in RNAcentral is "bacterial SSU rRNA". It matches the Rfam family "Bacterial small subunit ribosomal RNA", at positions 97 to 527 of the family's 1533-position model. The record is from RNAcentral.